RNAcentral lists this long non-coding RNA (213 nucleotides) under Zonotrichia albicollis (white-throated sparrow). Its description in RNAcentral is "lncRNA (ENSZALG00000001907.1)". Lineage: Eukaryota; Metazoa; Chordata; Aves; Passeriformes; Passerellidae. The record is from RNAcentral.
UGAAUCCAGCUAUGAAUGGGUUAAACUGAGGUUUAACUGAGGUAAACCUGCAUUUGGGGCUUGCAAGGGAUUCCCUUGGAGUCUAAGUCCAGGUUUAGAUGGGUUAAACUGACUUUUAGGGCUUCCAAGUGCAGGUUUAAAUGAGUUAAACUUGCAUUGAGGGCUUGCAAGUGAUCCACUCAGCUUCAUGUCCAGGUUUAACUGGGCUAAACC